GAAUCUUCCACAAUGGGCGAAAGCCUGAUGGAGCGACGCCGCGUGAGGGAUGAAGGUCUUUGGAUCGUAAACCUCUAAAAGUGGGACGAUAAUGACGGUACCACUUGAAAAGCCCCGGCUAACUCCGUGCCAGCAGCCGCGGUAAUACGGAGGGUGCUAGCGUUAUCCGGAAUCACUGGGCGUAAAGGGCGCGUAGGCGGUUUGUUAAGUCCGAUGUUAAAGACUGGGGCUCAACCCCAGCACUGCGUUGGAUACUGGCAGACUGGACGGUUGGAGAGGCGAGUGGAAUUACCAGUGUAGCGGUGGAAUGCGUAGAUACUGGUAGGAACACCCAUUGCGAAGGCAGCUCGCUGGACAACACGUGACGCUGAGGCGCGAAAGCGUGGGGAGCAAACAGG
RNAcentral lists this ribosomal RNA (398 nucleotides) under uncultured bacterium. Its description in RNAcentral is "bacterial SSU rRNA". It matches the Rfam family "Bacterial small subunit ribosomal RNA", at positions 359 to 776 of the family's 1533-position model. The record is from RNAcentral.